CCUAAAAUUGAAAACGAAAAUCAAAAUGAAACACAACGGUAAAGGUAACUGAAGGCAGUAAGAAAUCAGGAAAAUGAAGUCGUUGCGGAAACGAAAGCGGAAACGGAAGUGGAAACGAAAGUGGCCGAAGCUAGGAGUCUAGUGGUAGACGGGCUUGUGAAACGGAUAGGGCGAUCCGUUGAUCACUUUCAGAUAGUGCUGCAGCUGCGAUAUCUCUUCAUCGUCGAUCAGCAGCACCUUCAGGCAAUCCCCGAAGGUCUCGUGGACGAAACAAUUGGCCCUGCAUCGAAUAGACAAGAAGACAGAUGUGACUAUAUAGGGUGGAACAUAAGAAAGAGAGAGAGAUAUAGACCAAAUGGAAGAAACCGAAUAGGCAGCGGUCUCUGUGCGAGAAAGUCGAGGAGAAAGUAGCGGGGAAAGCGCCCAUAAAGUUCACAAACAACCGAAGGUCCCGCGAGCAUUUUCCGAUACCCCGGCAUUUGUAUUUGUGUCAGGGUCUGCCAGCACUUAAGAUCAUAAUUAGUGUUUCUUGGACGGCCUUGCCUUGAACGCUGUAAGGAACACUGCUGCUGCUUUGGGGUUUUGUUAGAUAUACAUACAUAUGUGCGUAUGGAUGGGGCUGUGGGACCCUAGGGAAACUUACUUGCAUAAUCGGUGUAUACUCGUCUCGCGGAACAACUGGUAGCAGUCCUCGCAGAUGCGGUCCAGUCGGAAGAACAUGGUCUUGUUGAAGA
Drosophila simulans is the source of this 734-nucleotide long non-coding RNA. RefSeq lists it as uncharacterized. The transcript has 2 exons. The record is from RefSeq and is a predicted model, not a curated record. NCBI's taxonomy places the organism in Eukaryota, Metazoa, Arthropoda, Insecta, Diptera, Drosophilidae.